GGCGGCUUUGGAGGCGGCCCGCGGCAAGGGGGUGGUGACCGCGGUGACCGUGGUGACCGCGAACGCGAGAAGUGCCAGAUUUGCAAGCAAGAAGGGCAUGGCGCAUGGCACUGCAAAAAACGCUACGAUCGCAACUUCAACAACAACGUCCGCAACCCCGCAGGAGGCGGUGGUGGCGGAGGACACGGCGGCGGUGGAGGACACCGCUCGGCCAAUGCUGCCCACGCCUAUGGUGUCGGUACCAAUUGGUAUCUUGACACCGGUGCAACUGAUCACGUGACGGGAGAACUGGAGAAACUUGCGGUUCACGAUCGCUACACCGGCACGGAGCAAAUCCACACUGCGAGUGGUCAAGGAUCGGGUCACUCGGAGAACCGUUCUUCAAAACAGGACUAG
This 396-nucleotide ribosomal RNA is filed under the name Triticum aestivum (bread wheat). Its description in RNAcentral is "partial small subunit ribosomal RNA". Lineage: Eukaryota; Viridiplantae; Streptophyta; Magnoliopsida; Poales; Poaceae. The record is from RNAcentral.